Molecule: ribosomal RNA, 419 nt
Filed under: Enterococcus faecium
Lineage: Bacteria; Bacillati; Bacillota; Bacilli; Lactobacillales; Enterococcaceae
Description: bacterial SSU rRNA
Rfam family: Bacterial small subunit ribosomal RNA
Source: RNAcentral
CCCUUGACGGUAUCUAACCAGAAAGCCACGGCUAACUACGUGCCAGCAGCCGCGGUAAUACGUAGGUGGCAAGCGUUGUCCGGAUUUAUUGGGCGUAAAGCGAGCGCAGGCGGUUUCUUAAGUCUGAUGUGAAAGCCCCCGGCUCAACCGGGGAGGGUCAUUGGAAACUGGGAGACUUGAGUGCAGAAGAGGAGAGUGGAAUUCCCAUGUGUAGCGGUGAAAUGCGUAGAUAUAUGGAGGAACACCAGUGGCGAAGGCGGCUCUCUGGUCUGUAACUGACGCUGAGGCUCGAAAGCGUGGGGAGCAAACAGGAUUAGAUACCCUGGUAGUCCACGCCGUAAACGAUGAGUGCUAAGUGUUGGAGGGUUUCCGCCCUUUCAGUGCUGCAGCUAACGCAUUAAGCACUCCGCCUGGGGAGA